GUAGUCUGCAACUCGACUACAUGAAGCUGGAAUCGCUAGUAAUCGCGGAUCAGAAUGCCGCGGUGAAUACGUUCCCGGGUCUUGUACACACCGCCCGUCACACCAUGGGAGUCGGAAAUGCCCGAAGUCUGUGACCCAACCUUAGGGAGGGAGCAGCCGAAGGCAGGUCGGAUGACUGGGGUGAAGUCGUAACAAGGUAUC
This 201-nucleotide ribosomal RNA is filed under the name uncultured bacterium. RNAcentral describes it as "partial 16S ribosomal RNA". It matches the Rfam family "Bacterial small subunit ribosomal RNA", at positions 1300 to 1500 of the family's 1533-position model. The record is from RNAcentral.